UACGUAGGGGGCGAGCGUUGUCCGGAAUCAUUGGGCGUAAAGCGCGUGUAGGCGGCUCGAUAAGUCCGGUGUGAAACCUUGGGGCUCAACCCCAAGCCUGCACUGGAUACUGUCGAGCUAGAGUCCGGGAGGGGAGAGCGGAAUUCCUAGUGUAGCGGUGAAAUGCGCAGAUAUUAGGAGGAACACCAAUUGCGAAGGCAGCUCGCUGGGACGUAACUGACGCUGAGACGCGAAAGCGUGGGGAGCAAACAGG
Molecule: ribosomal RNA, 253 nt
Filed under: uncultured bacterium
Lineage: Bacteria
Description: partial 16S ribosomal RNA
Rfam family: Bacterial small subunit ribosomal RNA
Source: RNAcentral